Molecule: long non-coding RNA, 281 nt
Organism: Papilio machaon (common yellow swallowtail)
Lineage: Eukaryota; Metazoa; Arthropoda; Insecta; Lepidoptera; Papilionidae
Exons: 3
Source: RefSeq, a predicted model, not a curated record
UUACUACAUCGCAGUCUUUUUGGGGUUAAAAAGGGUUAGAGGGCAAGCCGUGCGACCCGGCCGGCAUGUGGUGUCUGGCAGGUCACGGACCGCAACUUGCCAACUUUGGCGGAAUGCGUUGUAGUUGCAAUCAGCAGUGUGUUGAUGCUGUGUUCAGAGAGAUAUCUAUUGUGGAUCAACUCUGGGAUCGGGGACCGUUCCAGAAUCGUGCAGCCGUUAGGUUCACAGUACAAGCACCAAGAACGAGAUAUACAAGAGAGAUAGUGUUCCAUUUCGAAGAU